UCGAGAAUCAUUCACAAUGGGGGAAACCCUGAUGGUGCGACGCCGCGUGGGGGAAUGAAGGUCUUCGGAUUGUAAACCCCUGUCAUGUGGGAGCAAAUUAAAAAGAUAGUACCACAAGAGGAAGAGACGGCUAACUCUGUGCCAGCAGCCGCGGUAAUACAGAGGUCUCAAGCGUUGUUCGGAAUCACUGGGCGUAAAGCGUGCGUAGGCGGUUUCGUAAGUCGUGUGUGAAAGGCGGGGGCUCAACCCCCGGACUGCACAUGAUACUGCGAGACUAGAGUAAUGGAGGGGGAACCGGAAUUCUCGGUGUAGCAGUGAAAUGCGUAGAUAUCGAGAGGAACACUCGUGGCGAAGGCGGGUUCCUGGACAUUAACUGACGCUGAGGCACGAAGGCCAGGGGAGCGAAAGGG
This 410-nucleotide ribosomal RNA is filed under the name Acidobacteriota bacterium. RNAcentral's name for it is "Acidobacteria bacterium partial 16S ribosomal RNA". It matches the Rfam family "Bacterial small subunit ribosomal RNA", at positions 355 to 776 of the family's 1533-position model. Lineage: Bacteria; Pseudomonadati; Acidobacteriota. The record is from RNAcentral. RNAcentral also lists the same sequence under 2 other names.